UACGAAGGGGGCUAGCGUUGCUCGGAAUCACUGGGCGUAAAGGGCGCGUAGGUGGCGCCGCAAGUCCAUGGUGAAAGCUCGAUGCUCAACAUCGAGUCGGCCACGGAGACUGCGGGGCUCGAGCACUGUAGGGGCAGAUGGAAUUCCGGGUGUAGCGGUGGAAUGCGUAGAGAUCCGGAAGAACACCGGUGGCGAAGGCGGUCUGCUGGGCAGUUGCUGACACUGAGGCGCGACAGCGUGGGGAGCAAACAGG
Molecule: ribosomal RNA, 253 nt
Filed under: uncultured bacterium
Lineage: Bacteria
Description: partial 16S ribosomal RNA
Rfam family: Bacterial small subunit ribosomal RNA
Source: RNAcentral